GAUCUCAGCUCAAGCAAGACUACCCGCUGAAUUUAAGCAUAUUAAUAAGCGGAGGAAAAGAAAAUAACAAUGAUUCCCUCAGUAACGGCGAGUGAAGCGGGAAGAGCUCAAAUUUUAAAGCUACAUGGUUUCCAUGUCGCGUUGUAAAUUCAAGAAACGUUUUCUCAUACAGCCCCGGNUUAAGUUCGCUGGAAUGCGAUAUCAUAGAGGGUGAGAAUCCCGUCUGUGACUGGGUGUCUGUGUGUCUACGAUACGUUUUCGAAGAGUCAGGUUGUUUGGGAAUGCAGCCUAAAAUGGGUGGUNAAUUUCAUCUAAAGCU
RNAcentral lists this ribosomal RNA (319 nucleotides) under Creolimax fragrantissima. RNAcentral's name for it is "eukaryotic LSU rRNA". It matches the Rfam family "Eukaryotic large subunit ribosomal RNA", at positions 1 to 317 of the family's 3401-position model. The record is from RNAcentral. Lineage: Eukaryota; Ichthyosporea; Ichthyophonida.